This 65-nucleotide transfer RNA is filed under the name Loxodonta africana (African savanna elephant). It matches the Rfam family "tRNA", at positions 5 to 66 of the family's 71-position model. Rfam says of the family: Transfer RNA (tRNA) molecules are approximately 80 nucleotides in length. Their secondary structure includes four short double-helical elements and three loops (D, anti-codon, and T loops). Lineage: Eukaryota; Metazoa; Chordata; Mammalia; Proboscidea; Elephantidae. The record is from Rfam by way of RNAcentral.
UGGUGGCUUAGUGGUUAAAGCACUCGGCUGCUACCCGAAAGGUCUGAGUUCGAACCCAUCAGCCA